Long non-coding RNA from Spinacia oleracea (spinach), 1245 nucleotides. RefSeq lists it as uncharacterized. The record is from RefSeq and is a predicted model, not a curated record. NCBI's taxonomy places the organism in Eukaryota, Viridiplantae, Streptophyta, Magnoliopsida, Caryophyllales, Amaranthaceae. The transcript is spliced from 2 exons.
CAUGUUUGACUUUUGUCUCUCAUCUUUUAGCCCAAGUAUUGAUUUUAUCCCAAAAAUCUGAUUAUUAUUCUUGAGUGAUUUCAAUUUUACCCUUGGUCAAUUAAAGACCAAAGACCAUCUUUUUGUUGUCUGCCUUCUUCUUCUUCCUUUACACGUAUGAAGAGCUUGCUCACCAAGCUCCUUGAUUUUUCAAGAUUCAAUCCAAAUUCAUUGCAAAUUCCAAUUUUCUUUCUUCCUCUCUUAUGCGUGGCAAAAAUCAGGACAUUUUGUUUGCCAAAUGUCUAAUUUCUUUAUACUCUUCCAUGACUCAUCAUAUCAAGAAUUUUCUAUAAAUAGCCAUUGAAACUCCAUCGUUGCUCAAGCUAAAACCAAUUAAUCUUUCUGAUUGUAUUUAGCCUAAUUUAACUUGCUUCCCCUCUAUUUUUCCCUUGUUAAAAUUCAAGAAAACCAUUAAGACUACUCAUUUUCUCUCUCCUCCAUUCGACCACCGCGGCACGCCGCUACUGCCACCACCUUCUUCCGUCGGAUCUUCCCUUCGCCGCCCAGAACUCAGCCCCGGCGUCACAUUAUCUUCGUCGCCGGAGUCUACCGUGGCCCUGUUGGCUGUUGCUACGGGUGUUGUGUUGCGUGAGUUGCUUGCUUCCUGUUGCUUCAUUGUUUCGUUUCUUUACCUGCUACUGCUCCUUGAAUUUAAUUGAAUGGUUUCAUAAACAAAGCUAUUUUGGAUACCAAGGAGGUGGACCAUGAGUUUUGGAUUAUAAUAAAGUGGACCAUGAGUUAUUAUGAAAGGAACAAAUGUUUUGGGCCUUUAUCCACAACUAACGUAUAAAAGGCUAAUAAGUAAGUAAUCUGAUUCUUUUUUUUUGGCUAUUAAGAUUAAUCAAAGAUUUUUGUGAAGAAAAUGAUUAACUUUUAUGGUUGGUAUAUUUUGAGGUUUAUUGUGGAAUUAAAUGACAAAGAUCAAGGAUUUUGGGAUUCUAAGUUGAGAUUCGUACUAAAUUAAGCAUGCGGUUUACGAUCAAGGUCCGAUUAAGGAGCUCAAGUUGCUCAAAUGAGAGUUAUUACUGGAGUUGGUUAUUUAUUAUGGAGAUAUCAAGAUGAGAAAUUAUUAUUAUGGAAAUCCUGUUACUAAGGUUGUUAUAAGAAUAUUGAUUUAUACUUAUUUUUGGGAAAGUUGUAUUAUUUAAAGGAAUGUUAUUAAGGAUUAUUUUAUUUGUGGGCCCAUACCCACAGGUCCCAGGAUUA